AGGCGGCGUAAGCUGUCGCUAUGGGAUGGCCCCGCGGUGCAUUANGCUAGUUGGUAAGGUAACGGCUUACCAAGGCGAUGAUGCAUAGCCGAGUUGAGAGACUGAUCGGCCACAUUGGGACUGAGACACGGCCCAAACUCCUACGGGAGGCAGCAGUAGGGAAUCUUCCACAAUGGACGCAAGUCUGAUGGAGCAACGCCGCGUGAGUGAAGAAGGUUUUCGGAUCGUAAAGCUCUGUUGUUGGUGAAGAAGGAUAGAGGUAGUANCU
This 268-nucleotide ribosomal RNA is filed under the name uncultured bacterium. RNAcentral describes it as "partial 16S ribosomal RNA". It matches the Rfam family "Bacterial small subunit ribosomal RNA", at positions 202 to 466 of the family's 1533-position model. The record is from RNAcentral.